GACGAACGCUGGCGGCGUGCUUAACACAUGCAAGUCGAACGGAAAGGCCUGCUUUCCCUUGUGGUUUGCGGGUACUCGAGUGGCGAACGGGUGAGUAACACGUGAGUGAUCUGCCCCCAACUUGGGUAUAAGCCUGGGAAACUGGGUCUAAUUCCCGAUAGGACUGCAGGGUGGUGCCUGUGGUGGAAAACGAUUUUCUAGUGGUUGGGGAUGAGCUCGCGGCCUAUCAGCUUGUUGGUGGGGUAAUGGCCUACCAAGGCGGCGACGGGUAGCCGGCCGGAGAGGGUGGACGGCCACAUUGGGACUGAGAUACGGCCCAGACUCCUACGGGAGGCAGCAGUGGGGAAUAUUGCACAAUGGGCGGAAGCCUGAUGCAGCGACGCCGCGUGGGGGAUGACGGCCUUCGGGUUGUAAGCUCCUUUCGACCGCGAGGAAGCCACCUGGUUGGAAGGGUGGUGACGGUAGUGGUAGAAGAAGCACCGGCUAACUACGUG
Molecule: ribosomal RNA, 494 nt
Filed under: uncultured bacterium
Lineage: Bacteria
Description: partial 16S ribosomal RNA
Rfam family: Bacterial small subunit ribosomal RNA
Source: RNAcentral